CAGUAGCCGCGGGAAUACAGAGGGUGCAAGCGUUAAUCGGAAUUACUGGGCGUAAAGCGCGCGUAGGUGGUUUGUUAAGUUGGAUGUGAAAGCCCCGGGCUCAACCUGGGAACUGCAUCCAAAACUGGCAAGCUAGAGUACGGUAUAGGGUGGUGGAAUUUCCUGUGUAGCGGUGAAAUGCGUAGAUAUAGGAAGGAACACCAGUGGCGAAGGCGACCACCUGGACUGAUACUGACACUGAGGUGCGAAAGCGUGGGGAGCAAACAGGAUUAGAUACCCCAGUAGUCCCUGUCUCUUAUAA
This 301-nucleotide ribosomal RNA is filed under the name uncultured bacterium. Its description in RNAcentral is "partial 16S ribosomal RNA". It matches the Rfam family "Bacterial small subunit ribosomal RNA", at positions 509 to 809 of the family's 1533-position model. The record is from RNAcentral.